This 83-nucleotide small RNA is filed under the name Marmota monax (woodchuck). The record is from RNAcentral. Lineage: Eukaryota; Metazoa; Chordata; Mammalia; Rodentia; Sciuridae.
GCCAGGUGUGGUAGCAAACACCUGUAAUCCUAGCAGCUUGGGAGGCUGAGGUAGGAGGAUGGAAAAUUCAAAGCCAGCCUCAA